GUAACAAGGUCUCCGUUGGUGAACCAGCGGAGGGAUCAUUACCGAGUACUAUAACUCAUAACCCUUUGUGAACCUUUAUACCUGUUGCUUCGGCGGCGCGCCUCCCGGGGCGUGCCCGCCGGUAUCAUCAGAAUCUCUGUUCGAACCCGACGAUAUUUCUGAGUGUUCUAAGCGAACUGUUAAAACUUUCAACAACGGAUCUCUUGGCUCCAGCAUCGAUGAAGAACGCAGCGAAACGCGAUAUGUAAUGUGAAUUGCAGAAUUCAGUGAAUCAUCGAAUCUUUGAACGCACAUGGCGCCUUCCAGUAUCCUGGGAGGCAUGCCUGUCCGAGCGUCGUUUCAACCCUCGAGCCCCCGUGGCCCGGCGUUGGGGAUCUGCCCAGGCAGUCCCCGAAAACCAGUGGCGGACCCGUUACAGGCCCUUCCCUUGCGUAGUAGCAUUCGCCUCGCAUCGGGAGCCGGCGGGCUUCCAGCCUCUAAACCCCCAUCAAGUCCGCCCCGGCGGCACCAAGGUUGACCUCGGAUCAGGUAGGAAUACCCGCUGAACUUAAGC
Molecule: unclassified non-coding RNA, 553 nt
Filed under: Furcasterigmium furcatum
Lineage: Eukaryota; Fungi; Ascomycota; Sordariomycetes; Glomerellales; Plectosphaerellaceae
Description: sequence contains 18S rRNA gene, ITS1, 5.8S rRNA gene, ITS2
Rfam family: 5.8S ribosomal RNA (bases 184-337)
Source: RNAcentral